GGUCUGUGAUGAGUUUCGGCAUGUAUUCUGAGUAUAAACUUGAAGAGUGUCAGUUUAGCUCUAGAAUUACUCUGAGACCUG
This is a small nucleolar RNA of Cuculus canorus (common cuckoo), 81 nucleotides long. It matches the Rfam family "Small nucleolar RNA SNORD45". From Rfam's summary of the family: U45 belongs to the C/D class of snoRNA which contain the C (UGAUGA) and D (CUGA) box motifs. Most of the members of the box C/D family function in directing site-specific 2'-O-methylation of substrate RNAs. The record is from Rfam. NCBI's taxonomy places the organism in Eukaryota, Metazoa, Chordata, Aves, Cuculiformes, Cuculidae.